GACGAACGCUGGCGGCGUGCUUAACACAUGCAAGUCGAACGGAAAGGCCCUGCUUUUGUGGGGUGCUCGAGUGGCGAACGGGUGAGUAACACGUGAGUAACCUGCCCUUGACUUUGGGGUAACUUCAGGAAACUGGGGCUAAUACCGGAUAGGAGCUCCUGCUGCAUGGUGGGGGUUGGAAAGUUUCGGCGGUUGGGGAUGGACUCGCGGCUUAUCAGCUUGUUGGUGGGGUAGUGGCUUACCAAGGCUUUGACGGGUAGCCGGCCUGAGAGGGUGACCGGCGACAUUGGGACUGAGAGACGGCGCAGACGGCUACGGGAGGCAGCAGUGGGGAACAUGGCACAAUGGGCGGAAGUCUGAGGCAGCAACGUCGCGUGCGGGAUGACGUCUUGUGGGGUGUAAACCGCUGUCGCCUGUGACGAAGCGUGAGUGACGGUAACGGGUAAAGAAGCACCGGCUAACUACGUG
Molecule: ribosomal RNA, 468 nt
Filed under: uncultured bacterium
Lineage: Bacteria
Description: partial 16S ribosomal RNA
Rfam family: Bacterial small subunit ribosomal RNA
Source: RNAcentral